RNAcentral lists this long non-coding RNA (283 nucleotides) under Elaeis guineensis (African oil palm). RNAcentral describes it as "long non-coding RNA (EGUI_LNC068277)". Lineage: Eukaryota; Viridiplantae; Streptophyta; Magnoliopsida; Arecales; Arecaceae. The record is from RNAcentral.
CGACCGUGACUUCCUCGACUCCAGCUUCUCCGAUGCAGGCGAAUUUUUGCACCAACAGUUACAUUGAUUGAUAUAGAAAGUUAUUUUUAUGUUAUCAGCUUAGGUUCAAACCUAUAGGGUCAUACGCAUUAGAAGAUUUGGUCAGAUCUGAUGGUUGAAGAGUCUAAUUAGAUUGUGACUCUGGUGAAGAGUCCUACUCCGACUAGAACUCUGAGGGAGUGUACCACUAGGACUGAGACUCUACUAUUUUUUAAGAAUUAAUUAGUAAUUAGAUUAUUAAUUG